UACGGGGGGGGCAAGCGUUGUUCGGAAUUACUGGGCGUAAAGGGCUCGUAGGCGGCCAACUAAGUCAGACGUGAAAUCCCUCGGCUUAACCGGGGAACUGCAUCUGAUACUGGAUGGCUUGAGUUCGGGAGAGGGAUGCGGAAUUCCAGGUGUAGCGGUGAAAUGCGUAGAGAUCUGGAGGAACACCGGUGGCGAAGGCGGCAUCCUGGACCGGUAUUGACACUGAGGCGCGAAAGCCAGGGGAGCAAACGGG
Molecule: ribosomal RNA, 253 nt
Filed under: uncultured bacterium
Lineage: Bacteria
Description: partial 16S ribosomal RNA
Rfam family: Bacterial small subunit ribosomal RNA
Source: RNAcentral